This 468-nucleotide ribosomal RNA is filed under the name uncultured bacterium. RNAcentral's name for it is "partial 16S ribosomal RNA". It matches the Rfam family "Bacterial small subunit ribosomal RNA", at positions 28 to 507 of the family's 1533-position model. The record is from RNAcentral.
GACGAACGCUGGCGGCGUGCUUAACACAUGCAAGUCGAACGGAAAGGCCCUGCUUUUGUGGGGCGCUAGAGUGGCGAAGGGGUGUGUAACACGGGAGAAACCUGCCCUUGACUUGGGGAAAACUUGGGGAAAGUGGGGAUAAUACCGGAUGGGAGCUCCUGAGGCAUGGUGGGGGUAGGAAAGUUUCGGCGGUUGGGGAUGGACUCGCGGCUUGUCAGCUUGUUGGUGGGGUAGUGGCUUACCAAGGGUUUGACGGGUAGCCGGCUUGGGAGGGUGACCGGCCACAUUGGGACUGAGUUACGCCCCAGACUCCUACGGGAGGCAGCAGUGGGGAUUUUGCCACAAUGGGCGGAAGCCUGAUGCAGCAACGCCGCGUGCGGGUUAACGGCCUUCGGUUUUUAAACCGUUUUCGCCUGUGACGAAGUGUUAGUGACGGUAAUUAGUUAAGAAGCACCGGCUAACUACGUG